CUGAGCCCGCCCACUCGCCCCUCAGUGGCUCUCCCAGCGAGGCGGGACGAAGAGGAAAGGGGCGUGGCCGAGCUGUUGCCCCGCCUCCGAGCCCUUGCCAGCCAAUGCCGGAAGCGCAUCGAGGCGUGGCCCCGCCUCCAGGCGCUCGUCAACGAAUGGUGGGAGCAGCCGGCGCAGUGGGUUCUGGCCACGCCCCUUCCGGGACACACCCACUCACGAGCAAGUCCCGCCCCUGAGUCGGGGGGGGGCGUUGCGCGCUGUGAUUGGCUGAGAGCGGAGCGUCAAUAAACGAUGGCAACCAAUGGGCGUGUUUUUGGGGGGCGGGGCUUCCGGGGUACGGAUGUAAACGAAGUGGGACCUACAGAAACCCCAUGAAAAUAAAGUAGGACCUACAGAAACUCCCUUGUAAUUA
RNAcentral lists this long non-coding RNA (412 nucleotides) under Numida meleagris (helmeted guineafowl). RNAcentral describes it as "lncRNA (ENSNMEG00000000972.1)". Lineage: Eukaryota; Metazoa; Chordata; Aves; Galliformes; Numididae. The record is from RNAcentral.